RNAcentral lists this long non-coding RNA (617 nucleotides) under Bos taurus (domestic cattle). RNAcentral describes it as "long non-coding RNA NONBTAT018287". Lineage: Eukaryota; Metazoa; Chordata; Mammalia; Artiodactyla; Bovidae. The record is from RNAcentral.
UUGCCGUCAUGUCCAACUCCUUUACUUCUCUGCUAAUUUGCCAGCUGUGAACUUUGGUACCUUUAGGAGAUUUUUAUGUGGUUGAACAAGCGAUAAGAAUGGACCAAGUUGACAAAAUGGCUUUUCCAGGAGACUGCCAACAAGCACAGCCAGCUCUCAAGCUGUAUUGCGCAAAGAUUUGCAGCCCACAAAGAUCGGGAGUUUUUUCCAAAGGACCUCUUAAGUGAGAAACUGAGAUCUCAAAAAGUUCACCAAGACCUCCAGGAUCCAUCAUCUUCCUCAUCCUGAGUGCAGCUCCUGUUACUGCUGCUUCUCUGACCAGCCAGUCAGGAGGUGGUCAGCAGACUACAUACCCAAAGACUGGCUCUUCCAGUUGGAGAAAUGACCUUACUUCUACGUGACUCCGGGAGUGAAGGUCAAGCCCCAUAUGAGUGUUUCUAUGGUGGAAGCCCAUUAUUCAAGUCUCAUCUUCAUCUGUAAAACCUCAAAAGCUACCAGAUUAUUGUGGAAAAGCUAAACACAUUUUGAGAGACUACUUACCAUUAGCCAGAGGGGAGGUCCUGAGUCAUCCAAAUGUUCCCUAGAUGGAAAAGAAGCAUGAAAAAAUGUUCUGCCCA